This 66-nucleotide transfer RNA is filed under the name Eysarcoris rosaceus. Its description in RNAcentral is "tRNA-Ile". Lineage: Eukaryota; Metazoa; Arthropoda; Insecta; Hemiptera; Pentatomidae. The record is from RNAcentral.
AAUAAGAUGCCUGACCAGAAAGGACUAUUUUGAUAGAAUAGAUUAUGUACAAUUGUACUCUUAUUA